This 102-nucleotide non-coding RNA is filed under the name Chloropicon laureae. Lineage: Eukaryota; Viridiplantae; Chlorophyta; Chloropicophyceae; Chloropicales; Chloropicaceae. The record is from RNAcentral.
AAAUGGAGAAAGAACGAAAGAAAAAAUAAGAUAUAUACACAACACGACUUGUUUUCUGUUUUCGACCAGAGGCUGUUUUUGUUUUUGUUGUUGUUGGUUUCU